UGUUUCGGCUAGGGGGCCAUCCCGGCUUACCAACCCGAUGCAAACUGCGAAUACCGGAGAAUGUUAUCACGGGAGACACACGGCGGGUGCUAACGUCCGUCGUGAAGAGGGAAACAACCCAGACCGCCAGCUAAGGUCCCAAAGUCAUGGUUAAGUGGGAAACGAUGUGGGAAGGCCCAGACAGCCAGGAUGUUGGCUUAGAAGCAGCCAUCAUUUAAAGAAAGCGUAAUAGCUCACUGGUCGAGUCGGCCUGCGCGGAAGAUGUAACGGGGCUAAACCAUGCACCGAAGCUGCGGCAGCGAACGUAUCACUUAAAGCGAUUCAGCGGGUUACGAUUGACGGAGCGAAGCGACGUCAAAGCGUAUACAAAGUCGAGUCGGUUUAAGGAUACGUUCGUUGGGUAGGGGAGCGUUCUGUAAGCCUGCGAAGGUGGCCUGUGAGGGUUGCUGGAGGUAUCAGAAGUGCGAAUGCUGACAUAAGUAACGAUAAAGCGGGUGAAAAGCCCGCUCGCCGGAAGACCAAGGGUUCCUGUCCAACGUUAAUCGGGGCAGGGUGAGUCGACCCCUAAGGCGAGGCCGAAAGGCGUAGUCGAUGGGAAACGGGUUAAUAUUCCCGUACUUGGUGUUACUGCGAAGGGGGGACGGAGAAGGCUAUGUUGGCCGGGCGACGGUUGUCCCGGUUUAAGCGUGUAGGUGUGUGUUCCAGGUAAAUCCGGUUCACUUUAACACUGAGGCGUGACGACGAGGCACUACGGUGCUGAAGCAACAAAUGCCCUGCUUCCAGGAAAAGCCUCUAAGCAUCAGGUAACAUCAAAUCGUACCCCAAACCGACACAGGUGGUCAGGUAGAGAAUACCAAGGCGCUUGAGAGAACUCGGGUGAAGGAACUAGGCAAAAUGGUGCCGUAACUUCGGGAGAAGGCACGCUGACACGUAGGUGAAGUGAUUUACUCAUGGAGCUGAAGUCAGUCGAAGAUACCAGCUGGCUGCAACUGUUUAUUAAAAACACAGCACUGUGCAAACACGAAAGUGGACGUAUACGGUGUGACGCCUGCCCGGUGCCGGAAGGUUAAUUGAUGGGGUCAGCGCAAGCGAAGCUCCUGAUCGAAGCCCCGGUAAACGGCGGCCGUAACUAUAACGGUCCUAAGGUAGCGAAAUUCCUUGUCGGGUAAGUUCCGACCUGCACGAAUGGCGUAAUGAUGGCCAGGCUGUCUCCACCCGAGACUCAGUGAAAUUGAACUCGCUGUGAAGAUGCAGUGUACCCGCGGCAAGACGGAAAGACCCCGUGAACCUUUACUAUAGCUUGACACUGAACAUUGAGCCUUGAUGUGUAGGAUAGGUGGGAGGCUU
This 1347-nucleotide ribosomal RNA is filed under the name Salmonella enterica subsp. enterica. Its description in RNAcentral is "partial 23S ribosomal RNA". It matches the Rfam family "Bacterial large subunit ribosomal RNA", at positions 911 to 2157 of the family's 2925-position model. Lineage: Bacteria; Pseudomonadati; Pseudomonadota; Gammaproteobacteria; Enterobacterales; Enterobacteriaceae. The record is from RNAcentral.